UGUACCUACGGGACGCAGCAGUGGGGAAUAUUGCACAAUGGGGGAAACCCUGAUGCAGCGACGCCGCGUGAGCGAAGAAGUAUUUCGGUAUGUAAAGCUCUAUCAGCAGGGAAGAAAAUGACGGUACCUGACUAAGAAGCUCCGGCUAAAUACGUGCCAGCAGCCGCGGUAAUACGUAUGGAGCAAGCGUUAUCCGGAUUUACUGGGUGUAAAGGGAGCGUAGACGGCAGUGCAAGUCUGAAGUGAAAGCCCCGGGCUUAACCCGGGAACUGCUUUGGAAACUGUACGGCUGGAGUGCUGGAGAG
RNAcentral lists this ribosomal RNA (305 nucleotides) under uncultured bacterium. Its description in RNAcentral is "bacterial SSU rRNA". It matches the Rfam family "Bacterial small subunit ribosomal RNA", at positions 335 to 656 of the family's 1533-position model. The record is from RNAcentral.